UGGGGAAUAUUGGGCAAUGGGCGAAAGCCUGACCCAGCGACGCCGCGUGGGUGAUGAAGGCCUUCGGGUUGUAAAGCCCUGUCAUGUGGAAAGAACAGUUCUGCGGUUAAUACCCGCGGAAUUUGACGGUACCACAGGAGGAAGCACCGGCUAACUCCGUGCCAGCAGCCGCGGUAAUACGGAGGGUGCAAGCGUUGUUCGGAAUUAUUGGGCGUAAAGGGCGCGUAGGCGGUUGUUAAAGUCAGAUGUGAAAUACUUCGGCUCAACUGAAGAACUGCAGCUGAAACUGCA
This 291-nucleotide ribosomal RNA is filed under the name uncultured prokaryote. Its description in RNAcentral is "partial 16S ribosomal RNA". It matches the Rfam family "Bacterial small subunit ribosomal RNA", at positions 355 to 637 of the family's 1533-position model. The record is from RNAcentral.